GAUGAACGCUAGCUACAGGCUUAACACAUGCAAGUCGAGGGGAAACGACAUCGAAAGCUUGCUUUUGGUGGGCGUCGACCGGCGCACGGGUGAGUAACGCGUAUCCAACCUGCCCACCACUUGGGGAUAACCUUGCGAAAGUAAGACUAAUACCCAAUGAUAUCCCACGAAGGCAUCCGAAUGGGAUUAAAGAUUUAUCGGUGAUGGAUGGGGAUGCGUCUGAUUAGCUUGUUGGCGGGGUAACGGCCCACCAAGGCGACGAUCAGUAGGGGUUCUGAGAGGAAGGUCCCCCCACAUUGGAACUGAGACACGGUCCAAACUCCUACGGGGGGGCAGCAGUGAGGAAUAUUGGGCAAUGGGGGAAACCCUGAC
RNAcentral lists this ribosomal RNA (372 nucleotides) under uncultured bacterium. Its description in RNAcentral is "bacterial SSU rRNA". It matches the Rfam family "Bacterial small subunit ribosomal RNA", at positions 28 to 387 of the family's 1533-position model. The record is from RNAcentral.